Molecule: long non-coding RNA, 408 nt
Filed under: Elaeis guineensis (African oil palm)
Lineage: Eukaryota; Viridiplantae; Streptophyta; Magnoliopsida; Arecales; Arecaceae
Description: long non-coding RNA (EGUI_LNC040940)
Source: RNAcentral
ACCACACUUCUGAUAUCUUUUCACCAAAUGAAGUUGGGGUGUUGGGUUGGAAAGUGGGUAACCAAUUCCCAGAACCCUUCCCACCCAAAUAUGGCAUGGUAAUAGAUGGCCCGGUGCAACAUAAUAGCACUUGAGUUCAACAUGACUUUCCAGCCUAGGGCUAUUCUAAGUGAGCCCUCUUGGGUUCGUUCGUGCGUGAGGGAGGGGACAGGAAGACAAUUGAGAGACUGAUUUAUAGCCAUAAACACUUUUGAAGUACUCUUAGAGAAUUCUACAUAAAAACUAAAACUCUCAAGCACCAAAAAGAAUCAUAGGGUGCCACACCAUGCUGCCCAUGAGAUAUCGGAAUGGCCAUGUAUGCAUGAUAAGGGAACUCCUUAGUCCUAGGGAUACCAUCUGGCGAAGCAC